GACGAACGCUGGCGGCGUGCCUAAUACACGCAAGUUGAGCGCUGAAGGUUGGUACUUGUACCAACUGGAUGAGCAGCGAACGGGUGAGUAACGCGUGGGGAAUCUGCCUUUGAGCGGGGGACAACAUUUGGAAACGAGUGCUAAUACCGCAUAAAAACUUUAAACACAAGUUUUAAGUUUGAAAGAUGCAAUUGCAUCACUCAAAGAUGAUCCCGCGUUGUAUUAGCUAGUUGGUGAGGUAAAGGCUCACCAAGGCGAUGAUACAUAGCCGACCUGAGAGGGUGAUCGGCCACAUUGGGACUGAGACACGGCCCAAACUCCUACGGGAGGCAGCAGUAGGGAAUCUUCGGCAAUGGACGAAAGUCUGACCGAGCAACGCCGCGUGAGUGAAGAAGGUUUUCGGAUCGUAAAACUCUGUUGGUAGAGAAGAACGUUGGUGAGAGUGGAAAGCUCAUCAAGUGACGGUAACUACCCAGAAAGGGACGGCUAACUACGUG
This 497-nucleotide ribosomal RNA is filed under the name uncultured bacterium. RNAcentral's name for it is "partial 16S ribosomal RNA". It matches the Rfam family "Bacterial small subunit ribosomal RNA", at positions 28 to 507 of the family's 1533-position model. The record is from RNAcentral.